Molecule: ribosomal RNA, 425 nt
Filed under: uncultured bacterium
Lineage: Bacteria
Description: partial 16S ribosomal RNA
Rfam family: Bacterial small subunit ribosomal RNA
Source: RNAcentral
GUGGGGAAUAUUGGGCAAUGGGCGAAAGCCUGACCCAGCAACGCCGCGUGAAGGAAGAAGGUUUUCGGAUCGUAAACUUCUAUCCUUGGUGAAGAUAAUGACGGUAGCCAAGAAGGAAGCCCCGGCUAACUACGUGCCAGCAGCCGCGGUAAUACGUAGGGGGCAAGCGUUGUCCGGAAUGAUUGGGCGUAAAGGGCGCGUAGGCGGCCCGGGAAGUCUGAAGUGAAAGUCCUGCUUUUAAGGUGGGAAUUGCUUUGGAUACUGUCGGGCUUGAGUGCAGGAGAGGUAAGCGGAAUUCCCGGUGUAGCGGUGAAAUGCGUAGAGAUCGGGAGUAACACCAGUGGCGAAGGCGGCUUACUGGACUGUAACUGACGCUGAGGCGCGAAAGUGUGGGGAGCAAACAGGAUUAGAAACCCCUGUAGUCC